UACGUAGAGCGCAAGCGUUAUCCGGAAUUAUUGGGCGUAAAGAGCUCGUAGGCGGUUUGUCGCGUCUGCCGUGAAAGUCCGGGGCUCAACUCCGGAUCUGCGGUGGGUACGGGCAGACUAGAGUGAUGUAGGGGAGACUGGAAUUCCUGGUGUAGCGGUGAAAUGCGCAGAUAUCAGGAGGAACACCGAUGGCGAAGGCAGGUCUCUGGGCAUUAACUGACGCUGAGGAGCGAAAGCAUGGGGAGCGAUCAGG
RNAcentral lists this ribosomal RNA (253 nucleotides) under uncultured bacterium. RNAcentral describes it as "partial 16S ribosomal RNA". It matches the Rfam family "Bacterial small subunit ribosomal RNA", at positions 524 to 776 of the family's 1533-position model. The record is from RNAcentral.